This is a non-coding RNA of Thamnophis sirtalis, 802 nucleotides long. Lineage: Eukaryota; Metazoa; Chordata; Lepidosauria; Squamata; Natricidae. The record is from RefSeq and is a predicted model, not a curated record.
UAGUUGCAAUCAUUUGGAUGUAUACUGGUACCAGGAUAAUUACUGCCAAACACGUGUCCAAAAGACUGCCCUGGGCCUUGGUCUUGCCCUGGCUGUGCUCUUUGUGGUCAGUACCAUCCUGACUGUGUUCCUCAUCCGAAACAAUCAAAAAAAAUUUAAGAACAGAUGGUUUGAUGAUACUGAAGUCUGGUAUGGACAAGAAACAGAAGAAGAGUGGAUACCAUCUGUGGGCCUGAUCAUCAUAAAUGAACCAGAAAUUUCAUCCUGGAAUGAACAUCAAAAACAAAAUAAAACCCUGAAACCAUAUUUCAGCUCAGAAGAUACUUCAAUACAGAAACCAACAAUAGCAGCUAACUACCGAUUUUCUACUGAGACAACCAACAAGUUUAUGCCUGAUUUUCAGAGCUAACAUAAAUGUAUUGGCAAAUAAACUGCGAUAUCAAUAAAAAUCUGAUUGUUGGGAACCUGGUUCCCUGAAACUGUGCAAUAUCUAAUUUAUUUUUUAAAAAACCUCAAUAAUCCUAUAUAAUUAACUGCAUAUAUUUAAGGUAUAAUAUUCCCAUAGAUACUUAUUUAUUAAUCCAAUUAUAUUAAUAUUAUGUUAUAUACACUUAAAUUUGUAAUUUAAUAUAUGUAUAUUUUAUAUAUGAAUAAAAUAGUUAAAAAUGAAUUUUGGUAAUGUUUAUGGAGUAAUAUGCUUAGAUAUGCUUGGCUUUACAAGACCAGCUAGAAAGACCUGCACAUGGAUUAGAGAACAAAUGAAAGUAUACGAUAUCAUCAAGAGAGUAAAAGCAUUGAAAUG